RNAcentral lists this ribosomal RNA (499 nucleotides) under uncultured Glomeromycotina. RNAcentral's name for it is "partial small subunit ribosomal RNA". It matches the Rfam family "Eukaryotic small subunit ribosomal RNA", at positions 591 to 1092 of the family's 1831-position model. The record is from RNAcentral. Lineage: Eukaryota; Fungi; Glomeromycota.
CCAAUAGCGUAUAUUAAAGUUGUUGCAGUUAAAAAGCUCGUAGUUGAAUUUCGGGAUCAAAUUGUCGGUCGUGCUUCGGUACGCACUGGCAUUAUUGGUUCCUACCUUCUGAAGAACCGCGAUGUCAUUAAUUUGGUGUCGUGGGGAAUCAGGACCGUUACUUUGAAAAAAUUAGAGUGUUUAAAGCAGGCGCACGCUUGAAUACAUUAGCAUGGAAUAAUGAAAUAGGACGUUUGAUUCUAUUUUGUUGGUUUCUAGGAUCGACGUAAUGAUUAAUAGGGAUAGUUGGGGGCAUUAGUAUUCAAUUGUCAGAGGUGAAAUUCUUGGAUUUAUUGAAGACUAACUACUGCGAAAGCAUUUGCCAAGGAUGUUUUCAUUAAUCAAGAACGAAAGUUAGGGGAUCGAAGACGAUCAGAUACCGUCGUAGUCUUAACCAUAAACUAUGCCGACUAGGGAUCGGAUGAUGUUAAUUUUAUAAUGACUCAUUCGGCGCCUUACG